Cydia fagiglandana is the source of this 464-nucleotide long non-coding RNA. RefSeq lists it as uncharacterized. Lineage: Eukaryota; Metazoa; Arthropoda; Insecta; Lepidoptera; Tortricidae. The transcript is spliced from 2 exons. The record is from RefSeq and is a predicted model, not a curated record.
CAUGGUUCACCAUUAGUUUACAUUUAACUGCAGAGUGAACUUCCUCAUAUAACGACAGUAUAAGAUAUCAAUAUGAGGAAAAUAACAGCUACGCUUUUAUUUGCGUCGUUAAUUAUCAAUUUAAAUAUGGCCAUGGUAAUAAAUCACCAAGUGAACGAUAACAUAAAUAUACCUUUUAUUAUCUAUAAGAAAAAUCCAGAAUCAGGGAGUAUUGAAAGUGAUAUCGCUGACGACGAUUUUCCUACAGAUGUUAAAACAAAAGAAUCAGAAAACGGUAAUAAAGUUACAAACAAUAUUCUUAACGCCGCCGAAAAAAAAGAAAAUGUUCAAGAUAUUCUAAAAAUGAACAAGAAAAGCGAACAAGUCGAAAUUCCUGAAUAUGUUGAUGAUAACAGAGAAGAAUCAGCAAAUAUUAAUAAAGUUGCAAACAAUAUUAUCAACGCCAACGAAAAUAAAAAAGAAAA